GAUGAACGCUAGCUACAGGCUUAACACAUGCAAGUCGAGGGGAAACGAUAGAGAAAGCUUGCUUUUUCUAGGCGUCGACCGGCGCACGGGUGAGUAACGCGUAUCCAACCUGCCCACCACUUGGGGAUAACCUUGCGAAAGUAAGACUAAUACCCAAUGAUAUCUCUAGAAGACAUCUGAAAGGGAUUAAAGAUUUAUCGGUGAUGGAUGGGGAUGCGUCUGAUUAGCUUGUUGGCGGGGUAACGGCCCACCAAGGCUACGAUCAGUAGGGGUUCUGAGAGGAAGGUCCCCCACAUUGGAACUGAGACACGGUCCAAACUCCUACGGGAGGCAGCAGUGAGGAAUAUUGGUCAAUGGGCGAGAGCCCUGAACCAGCCAAGUAGCGUGCAGGAUGACGGCCCUAUGGGUUGUAAACUGCUUUUAUAAGGGAAUAAAGUGGGUCACGUGUGACUUUUUGCAUGUACCUUAUGAAUAAGGACCGGCUAAUUCC
Molecule: ribosomal RNA, 490 nt
Filed under: uncultured bacterium
Lineage: Bacteria
Description: bacterial SSU rRNA
Rfam family: Bacterial small subunit ribosomal RNA
Source: RNAcentral